Long non-coding RNA from Gallus gallus (chicken), 3400 nucleotides. The record is from Ensembl. NCBI's taxonomy places the organism in Eukaryota, Metazoa, Chordata, Aves, Galliformes, Phasianidae.
GGGGGACAGAAAGCGGGCGGUAGAGAGAGGCGGAAGGUUUUCGGGCCGCCUUCGUCUCAGCAGUGUGCCUACAGCGAGCAUCUCGAUGUCACGUGUAUCGUUUUCUGUCUCGGGUUUUGAGGCAUACGCACGCUAAAAGCCCUGUUAGAAAUAAUUGAUGACGGGAUGAAAAUCUCACGAAUGUUCUAUUUGCUUACCCGUUGCAAUUACACGGGAAGAAGCAGGGCUCCCUGCUGCAGCCUGAAUUAGCUGCUGCCCAAUCAGCGAGUGGCAGCACCUGCAGCUCUUGGGGCUGCAGCCUCCAGUCCCAUCAGAGGGCUCGGUGCCGGACAUCUGCGUGCCCAACUGCUGAUGUGGCAAGGCCAUGAGGUGGGGAGGGAUGUGCUGUGUUCUGAUGGCUGUGCUGAGGGUCCCUUCCCCCAGCAGCCAAGCCUUGCUGCCCAUCAGCAUUCUCUCCUUGCUCUUUGCAGACCCUUUGGCGGCGGCAGCAUUGGGUUUCCCUGCACCCCAAACUCUGCGCCAACAGAUGUCACAGGUGGCACUAGGGCUCCGUUUGGCUGCAAAACUGGGCAAGGCCAGCUGGGGACAGGCCCUGGUGCCAGGAGGCACCAGAAAUUUCCUGACGUUCCUCAAAGAGGGGCAGGCAGCUGAGGCCGUUGCAAGAGGAGGAGUCCCGCAAGCCUUCCCUCUAUGGGGCUGAGCGUGCUGACCCCAACCCCGCUCCCACGCCAGCGUCAGCCCCGGGGAUAACAGAGCCUAGGUAAAGUAUAACAAGGAGAAGCUUGCACAUGCCCUUUGGGAGGGCGAGCCGUGUCAUUAGGGCAGCGGUCAGGGGGGGACGCGGGCUGUGUGCCCUCGGACUGCCAAAGGCCAACGCGGGACGCGGAGCGGAGCCAAUGAGCGGCGCCAGGGCCGGAGCCACCCCGCGCCCCCGCCCGCCUUCGUGCUCGGGUUUCAGCCGCUGUGUUUGCGGAUGGGGAGAUGCUUUAAGGGCUGAGCGGCGCGGGGCGGGAGGCAGCGGUGAGUGGAGUCCUCCUGGUUACAGCACGGGGUUCCCCGGGAGCUCGCCAACCCCACGCGAUGGCGUGUUCUCCUUGUCACCUCCGUGGGUGAUGGGCUGACGGUUGGACUAGAAGAUCUUCGUGUUUUCUCCAACCUGAGUGAUUCUGUGAUACAUUAAAUGAAGCACCGCGGGACUGUCCCCUGGGCUCCCGGCUGUGCUGGUGGCCCCGUGUGGCACUGAGCAUCCCUGCUGGGCUCCUCUCCUCAGGAUCCACUGCUCUUCCACCACAGCGAUGCUGCACCGUGCCACAAACCCCCGGGUGGAAUGGACAUCACAGCUGCCCCAGGGCUCGGCGUGCUGCAGCUCUUAGCCCACAGCAGAGACAGGGAUGGAGCUGCUCCAGCAUAGGCUCUGCUGGUCCAGCCUGCUUUUGCAGCCUGCUCUUCUCCAAAGCUGCAUCCCUGAAGAUGCUGAAGUCAGGCUGUUAUUGCAGAGGAAACCUGUGGAGAGAGACACGUGGGGUUUGAGGAUUAGCUGCUGAAACAGAUGGGAAUUUCCCGGAGCAAGGAGCUGAGGAGGGCAGGGAGGGCUCCUAUACAGCGGGGCUGCUGCCAGCCACGUGGGCUGUGUGAGGACCCCGGGAUGCCCACUGCCUCCCCACAGCGCUGCUGCUGACUCACAUCUCCGCGGGGAGCGGCACACGGCAGCUGUGCGCCCACCCCCUGCACUGCGCACCAGAGCUGGGCACCGGCAUGCUGCAGGGCUGGCAGCCCGUCCUGUUUGGGGACGGUGUCUCCGUGGGGUCCCAGAAGCACUGUCUCUCAUAGAGGCUGCUCCUUGCACACUGCUUUGUGCCCCGAUGCCGCCUGGUGCAUCUCCCACAAGCAGUUCGUGCAGCACUGGCACCGGGAGGCUGUCUGCCUGCAGGGCCCGACGGGAGCUGUGCCGUAUGCUCCGUGUCCCUCCUGCUUACUCUCUCCCUCCAGCUCUUGCACUGCACUUGCAGCAUGUGUCAUAUCCCAUUGAUGUCACCCGCCGUCCCCUGCCUCGUCCCUGCCUGCAGGGCUGCCUGUGCCAGUGGCUGCAAUAAGGGCACCCUGGGGCUCCGCAUCCCCCUGUGUUGGUCCCAGGGCAUAGGCAAUGCCAGCUGGGGGCUGAGCCCCGCAGCCAGGCCUGAACACUGCAAGCAGCGGUUCUGCACAUAGCAACAGAGAGAAUGCAGCACGAUCACAGCUCACGCUCCUUCCUGCCGCUUGGAAGUGUCUAGAGAGCUGAAAAAGCUGCAAGACGUUCUUGCUGCCAUCCUUCUCCCUGCUAGCUUCUUCAUGCUCUGGCUGUGUUUUGAGCCCCCUUUCUGGGGGGGCACAGCACUUCCCCAGACCAAUGGAUACCGAUUUGGCGUGAUGAGGGCUGCAGACAUCCCGCAGCAUGCUGCCCGCCGCGCAGGGCUGGCUGACUCAUCGCCAUGCAGCAUGCAAUUACAAAGGCAAGUGCAGGCCCCUACUGCUUUGCACAGGUAUCUGUGUCAGCCGGGGCUAUUUCCAUCUCUCCCGUGCACUCUCGGCUCAUUAGGAGGGGAAGGAACACAGCCACAGAGCUCACCUGCCUGCCACAGGACUGGGCAUAAUAUUCCAGUGAGCAGAGAGCCAGAAGGGGAAUUACAACCGAGUGACACAAUGGGGGGAGGAGGCAGCAGGGUGCAUUGCCCACACAUCCCACAUACUCACAGCUGCACACGCAGACCGAGCAGGGGUGUGGAGGUGCACCGUGGUGCAGAGCACCAUUGCCAUGAACUCAGAGGUUCCUGGCCGGAAUCCAAGCGAGGGCUGCAGCCUUCCAUCUGCAAGCACCGUUUGCUACAGGGGUUUAGCAACCGGGGCUGUCACAACUGCAGCAGCUGCAGAACCCUCGGCCAUGAGUGGGAGCAGCUCUGCCGUUGCGUCACUGCUUUGUGCAGUGUAGCACAGGGGAUGGAAUGCCCGGCUGCAGUGUGAGGCAGCGUGUGCUGAGCAAAGCAGUGCCCCAUCCUGUUCUCAUACAAGUGCACUUCUCGUGUGUACUUGUUAUUUUCUAACUAUUUGGUAAUGUUCAUUUCAUUUACUGCACGCAUAAGUGAGCAAAUAUGACAUAUACAAAUGUCGGGAAGUAAUUCAGUUUGUUAAGCUUCUUCAUUAAAAGAACUCUGUAUUAUUAAAGUAUCUACACUGUCAUGGGCUGGUAUCCCAUUAGCAACCUUAAUAAGAAAUGCUGUUUAUCCAUUCAGAAACAGAUCUCUGGGGCAUGCAUUUGGCAGCGUGCGUUGAGUCAGUGGUGGCAACCGGCAGCAUCUCUGUGUGCCUGGUCACAGGACAGCGUUUCCCACCCUGAGCUCAUGACCAGGCCAAAAACUUCACCUGC